This 395-nucleotide ribosomal RNA is filed under the name uncultured bacterium. RNAcentral's name for it is "partial 16S ribosomal RNA". It matches the Rfam family "Bacterial small subunit ribosomal RNA", at positions 523 to 918 of the family's 1533-position model. The record is from RNAcentral.
AUACGGAGGAUGCAAGCGUUAUCCGGAUUUAUUGGGUUUAAAGGGUGCGUAGGCGGUUUGCUAAGCGGGAGGUGAAAUGCCGGCGCUCAACGUCGGAAGUGCCUCCCGAACUGGUGGACUGGAAUGACUCUGCCGUGGGAGGAAUGUGUAGUGUAGCGGUGAAAUGCGUAGAGAUUGGGAGGAACACCAGUGGCGAAGGCGACUUACUGGACUGUAACUGACGCUGAGGCGCGAAAGUGUGGGGAGCAAACAGGAUUAGAUACCCUGGUAGUCCACACUGUAAACGAUGAGUAUUAGGUGUCGGGGGUUACCCCCCUCGGUGCCGCAGUUAACGCAUUAAAUACUCCGCCUGGGGAGUACGCACGCAAGUGUGAAACUCAAAUGAAUUGGCGGGG